RNAcentral lists this long non-coding RNA (14041 nucleotides) under Aquilegia coerulea. RNAcentral describes it as "long non-coding RNA (ACOE_LNC001525)". Lineage: Eukaryota; Viridiplantae; Streptophyta; Magnoliopsida; Ranunculales; Ranunculaceae. The record is from RNAcentral.
CUUUCAUUAACAACGGCUUUCAUGUUGUCAUCAAAACAGAACCCAUAUUAUGUUAUAUGUGUUAUUUUCCAGUUGAAUAAGUCUUAGUUGUUAUGAGUUAAGCCUAAUAAGUAGAAAGUAGAGUGUAGUCUUAUAGGGGUUAGUUGCAACUUAACGUUGGAGUGGGUUGUUGUAACUUAGUCCUAUUUUAUUGGUAAGAUAUUUGUAAUCACCUUCUAUUUAAGGUGCAGCAUUCAUUAAUAAAAGUAUGCUUAUGAAUUAUCUCCAAUUAUCCUCAACACUUAUUGUUGUUAUUGUAACACCCCGGGUCGGCAGGUGGUUUGCCAAGAGGGUGGGUCAUAUGUUGCAUGAGAGGGGGAUGAUCCCGACAUUGGAAUAUAGGUAUAGAUCCGUCAUAUAUAAUCACCGAGGCUUUUUGGGAGUAUCCCUCAUAUAUAAACAUUUCUCGUAAUGUUUUUCAUUAUUGCUGCCCUUGAAAUCUCGUAAGAUUGUCUGUAUAUUUGCAUGAGACGUGUUCACUAGAAUCAGACAUAGAAGACAUUAAGAUUGAUAAAAACAACAUAGUAAUUAGGAGGAUAUAUACCCAAGCUGUGGCAUUGAAACAGACACAUUUCGUAGUUACUUUCUUGUCCGACUCCACUUCAUAUAUGAAUUCACUAGACUUCAUCACCAACAAAGUUCUUGCUUCCUCAAUCCUCAAAGCUAAAACACCUUCCAUGGUUGGACACAAAGUAGAAGUCCACUUCAACGAAUCGUCACGUCUAUCCAACAUCAUCUUCAUAACACGUGACCUAAUUCUAUCAAGCAUUGGAAGUAUGGGCAUAGAACGUUGUGUGUACCCUGGGUAAAAUACCCGACAGGUGUCAUCGGUGGCUGUAUAAGAAGCUAAACCGAGAACACUUGAACGUUAGCCAGCCAGACCUGGACUAUCGGGUAGGGUCCAACCCGGUCUCAAGAAGUCUGCAUACGCUCUGUAGAUCCUGACCACUGGAUGGGCCACGAUCAGUGGGUGGAGCCCCGAUUACUGUAUAAGAAGUUGAGCCGUGGGCUCCCAUACAUCAGCCAGGCCUGUCUUAAUCAAGUAAGCUAGGUCCGACCCAUUGAAGUCCAUCAGCGACGAAGUCCCAUCCAAAGGCUUAUCAUAGAAGUCCAAAGGACCUGGCCAGGGAGUAUGAAAUGCAGAUUGGGCCUCCGGUCUGAGGAGUCUAGCCCAAGUCUUUGCUUUCAAACUUGGUCAAAUCCAAGUCCUAACUAACUGGAUAAGUCCAACAAGAUUUCAAGCUAACAGAACCCACUCUUCUAGCCCGCUGCAGAACAUAAAGGAAGACCCAGGUUGAACCAGAACCUAUCAGAGAAUGCCAUGUGGCAGUCGUCCUUGUCCAAGGGGAUUCAAACCGAGGGAUAAUCGUCAAGCAGCAUGCAUGUGUGCUAUCUCUGCGGGAACAUCUUCACAGUUUGAACUGCCCGAGUUCAUGGAGUCGAAACCGAAGGAGCGGUUGAGCCAGCCUCCUCCGGUCCACUAUAAAUUCAGGAGUUCUCAACCUCCUAAACUACGAGUCUUUCACUUAACAACCUCCAUUACUAAAUCACAUUAUAUAUUGAAAAGUGUUUAGAGGUGGAUUAAAGUUGGUUAUCAAAGUAUAUUGGUCAUGGUUCCAUAUGUAUUACUUGGAUUUUGAUAUGUGUAUAUUGAAAAGCGUAAAACCCUUUGAACAACCUUCUCUAUUUCUCUCUCAUUUUCCCUCUUCUCACUUUCUCUUUCAAUGAUUAUAAAGUGGAUACAAUAUUCAAAAAUAUGUAAAAAUCUUUUUAUGUUCAAAUUUUCUGUGUUUUGUAGUGCGAAUUAGUUCGUAUAACUUAUGUAAAUUGAGAUAUGUCUCUUGAACUGAAAGAUACGUCAUCUGUAUAACCUAUGUAAAUUCAUAUAUGUUACUCUUAUUGAAUAUUUGUUUUAAAAGAAUAUAUUAUAUUAUAAAACUAGUAAUCUAACUCCUAAAAUUGAAUGUGACAGAAUAAGAAUUUUAAUAUUAUUAUCUUCAAAUUAUUAAUGAUAUUCGUGGCAGUGCCAUGGGUUUUACUAGUAAUUUAUGAUCCAUAACUGCCCAUUUUUAAAUUACAAAAUAAAAAAUAAACUUCCUAUUGAUAAUAUUAUAAUAAAUUAGUAGAAUUACAUUCCCUCUAGAACCAUUAAUCUUGAGUAAGUUUUUUUUUUUUUUUUUUUAGAGUAACUUGUGUCUUACCAGUCCUCGUAAUCUCGAAUUUGAUAGAUAAAACAAUAAUGCAAAGUCUUGUAUUUCACAGAAUUACAAUUAAAAUAUAUACUCUCCUAAACCAAAGCUAAUACAAGGAAACUACCAAAAAAAAACUACUCUUAACAGAAUUAUAUAUAUGUCGUGAAAUACUUAAUAAGAUAGAAUAUGGUCGGAAUCUUUUAUGUAUGAUUAAGGAUUGGAUGAGUAAGAUGGUGGAAUUGAAGUGGAAGUCUUUCAUGUGUAUAGGGAGAGUAACGAAGUAGUAGAUCACCUUGCUAGCCUUUGUAGCUCACCGGAGUUAUGUGUAAACCUUUUUUUCUCCUCCUCUAGAUGCCAAGCUACUUGAGUAGGUAACAGAUGACUCUAAUGGGAGGGAAUUUGUAAGGAUUUCUAUAUAUAUAUAUACAUACAUACACUGGUAGGGGUCUGCCAAACCCUAAAUUUCUUCAACAAAAUAAAAAAUAAUAAUAUGUUCGACUAAUGUUUAUGCCACGGAUGACAUUAAAUUAGAGAGGUCCUACUGUAUAUGAAUCUAAUGAUAUAUAUGAAUGUUCCUAAUUUACAGGUUCAUGAUAUGACUUUAUCACACAAAUAAACCAACCGCCCGAUUGAAUUUUUGUUGUCGCCCAGGUUCCAUUUCGAAUGCAUGGUACAUGUAACGUGUUGGAGUUAUUUUGCAGAUCAUGUCAUAAUAGUGUUUUGUAAGUAGCAACAGGGAUGGUUAUUCAACAAGCUAAGUUGUUCACCACCUCUGCUACAAGAUAUUGAGGAUUUACUUAGCUUCCUGAUCAAAUUCAUUAUCAUCAUCUCCAAUGAAACUAUAGACAGUAAAAAAACAAAAAGCCAGUCUUCCAAAUUUCAACUUACAAACUAUUAAUCAUAGGCAAAGACAGUAAAAAGCAAAUAAAAAAGAAAAAAACAACCGCAUUCAACUUAAGCUUGCUUGAACAGCCUCUGGAGUCUUCAAACCAAAGCUAAACUAAGGUCUUGUAUUCAAGUUCAUCAUUCGGAUGACCUCGGAAUCCCUUCAAACAGUUUUCCCAAUGUGCCUUGUGUAUCCAUCUCAACCAUUUUAUCAAAAGCUAGUUGCUUUCCUUUCACAAAUACUACAGGAGGGUAUACACCCUUUUUACCUAGCACGGUUUGCAAUUCACUCAUAUAGGCUCGUCCAGCAGUAUCUCGCUCAUCAACCUCAAUUUGAUAUGAUUUUAACAUGGAAACAAUAUAUUCAGAAUAAUCAAUGUUGUCUCUACGACCAGACGAAACUGUGUAAACAACAACCGCAUUUUCACCUCCAGGCGGACACCUUGAUUUGAAUUUUGCAAGCUCCAUAUUUGGUUCACUUAUUACAGGCCUUUCAAAAAUGGCAGAAUUGACCUUUGGAUGCCCCAACUUGGCUGGGAGAGAAAACACCAAAGAAUUAGAACUACCACUCAUGCUGCUGCUACUUUCAGCAAAAUCAUAUGUAAAUGGUUCGAGCGGCAACCACGGUUCUAUCUCGCCCUCAAGCAUCUUCACCACUUUGCUCAUAUCUUCACCACUUUGAAAUUUUUCCUGAAUCGUUGCGUUAUCCACAUGAGAGUUUUUCUCCUGCAGACUGAAAGAGUAACAUCAAAUUUGCCAGUCUCAACAUCAUAUAGAAGAGUUAGGUAAGAGAUUAUUAAUUGUGCGGGAAAAAAACACUUGAGAGCUAUCUAUAUAUAGUACCUUUCAGCAAUUGAACUUGCAAUUUUUGAAGAAACUUGUGAGUAGGACAAGUUCACUGGCAUUGUUCGCCCACCAAUUCGUAUCGAGGUACUGCCUUCACUUGACAAGUCAUAAAACGGAAAGGGAUCAAGUGGCAGUGAUGGUUCAAUAGCACCCUCAAGCAUCAUCACAACCGUGCUCAUGAGUGGUCUUAGUUGGGGAAUAUCUUGAGCGCACAAUAAUGCAACUAAACUUAAUCUCUUCGCUUUAUCUUUAUCUUUCUCUAAAAUGCCACAAUCAGUGAUCAUUUCAUCGAGUUGUCCAUUCUUAACAGUCUUCCAAACUUGAAACGGAAACCACUCUUGGCCCUCCCAAAUCCUCUUUCUCGUCAAAAGUUCAAACAACAUCAUACCGAAGCUGUAAACAUCACAUUUAUGACUCGUUAUGUUGUUCCAUCCUAAACAAACCUCCAGGGCUGCAUAACCAUAGGUCCCUCGGAAGCUGUUCUUUGAGACGUGACUAAGAUCACUAUUAUUACCAAGCUUGGCCAAUCCAAAAUCGGCAAUCUUUGGAGAAUGAUUCGAGUCAAGAAGCACAUUUUCAGCUUUUAUGUCAUGGUGAAUUAUUGGCGGACUACAGAUCUCGUGCAAAUAAGAAAGUCCUUGUGCUAUCUGUACUGCAAUAUGAAACAGUUUUACCCACUCUAUACUGGAAUCGUUUUGAUACAACACUUUAUCAAAAGAUUCAUUCUCCACGUAUUCAUAAACAAGUGCUUUCGUGUUGUCUUCCAAGCAAAAACCAUACAGUUUAACCAAGUUUUGAUGGUAGGUUCUGCUCAUUAUGGCUACUUCGUCUAGAAAUUGACUAGCCAUGAACUUAUUUUUCAUAUUAUCAUUUGCAUUAUAUUUCAGCACCUUAACUGCCACUUUUUUAUCGUAAGCAAAUCCUUUGUAAACGUUUCCAAACUCACCAGAUCCUAAUGUAUCAGCAGUAAAAUUUGACGUAAAUUUCAGAAGCUCUUUAUGUGAAAAUAAUUGUACUUUCUCAUUUUGAAUUCCGCUUAAAAACAUUUGGAUUUGAUUUGAGCUGUCAUCUCCCUUGCUUAGCAUACCAGGAUUUCCCUCCAUCUUAGGUGAUACUAUAUUGCAACUGUCAGGUACAAUAUGAAGUUGCCGAUCCUAACAGUAUCAAAGAUAACCUGAUGAUCAGCUAGAGAAAAAGAAAAGAAAAGCUAAUGACUGACAGAAAAGUCAGUUGAACUCAAUCAUUAUUGUCAUUGUUUAUCCAUUUUUAUGUUUAAUUUUGUCGAUUAUUUGAGAUCAUGAAGGGUACCUAGACUGAUUUCAGAUCCGGGUUUUCUUAAAACCAUCAAGAAAUAUCUGAUGUACACUAACUAAGCUAGCUAGCUUUGAUUAUCAAAAAAAAAAAAAAAAAUCCAAAUUAAUCUUACCUUGACACUAUCUUUCUUUCAGCUGUUGAUAUGUGUAUGCUCGAAUUCUUUGUAUCUUCAAAAAGCAAAGAGGCAAUUUUUAUCAAGUAUUCUAUACAUAAUACAAGAUUGAACAACACUUUUAGGCAUAGCUUGCAUACUUACCAAAUACUGUAUAACCCAGCAGAGAGAAGACUGGGUUAGAAGUUGUUUCUAUGUCACCUUGAUGGGAAGAGAUAUGCAUAUGAUGCUUCCUUCUUGGAAUCUUUAUCUCUUAUGAAGUUGUAUUUUUUUAAUGCCAAGUGGAACAACAAGUUGGAAAUGUUUAUACACUAAUUAAUUAAACACCACAUGGAAGACUUUGAAUAUCAAGAUUUAAAUUGUUUGAACAAAUAGUUCUAACAUUUUAUAAAGUUUUUGAUAUAAUUUAUGACUCAUAACUGCCCAUUUUUAAAUUACAAAAUAAGAAAUAAAGUUCCUAUUGAUAAUAUUAUAAUAAAUUAGUAGAAUUACAUUCCUUCUAGAACCAUUAAUCUCGAGUAAGUUUUUUUUUUUUUUUUUGAGUAACUUGUUUCUUACCAGUCCUCGUAAUCUCGAAUUUGAUAGAUAAAACAAUAAUGCAAAGCCAUGUAUAGUAGUAAUCUUAAGAUUUGAUAGAUAAAACAAUAAUGCAAAGUCUUGUAUUUCACAGAAUUACAAUUAAAAUAUCAGAAUUUUCAUCCCAAGGAUCAAAUAUAGAGUUUUCUUAGGUUUUAGGAAAUCGGAAAACUUUUGUUAGGAUUUACCUCGAACAAAACCGUAUUUUUCAGGCAGACCAAAUUACCCUUCCACUACCAACACAGAAUAGACGUGAGAAAGAGUUGGGGGGAGGACAUUGUUGGUUGAAUGUGGGAGUUGGUAGCGAGAUUGAGAAACAAUAGUGGUAUAAGUGGUGCGAACUUGGGGAGUAUUGAAGAAUUGAGAUGGUUGGGAGGUUUAUAGGGUUGUAUGUAUGGGUAGGGAUGUGAAAAUAUGUUUUGUGGUGUUUGGCGGCAACCAUGAAUAUUGAGAGAUGCAAAGUCAAUAAUGGAAACUUGUGGUAAAGUUGUGGUGGUGGUGGAAAAUUGGGGGAUAAAAUGUUCAUUUUGGUUAUUGUACUUUGUUUGUUUUUUGCAAUUUGGUCACAACACUUUUUUCCUGUCAGUUUGGUCAUAGUAGAGGGUGGGAGGGUGAGAACAUCAACAAUAGAUUGCUUACCUUCAAACUUAUUAAAUUGAAGAGUAAGUUUCUCGAUUAAAGUGGUUAGACGAUUAAUAGCCGAAUUGAAUUCAAUCUUCGUCACAUAAUCUCUAAGAUUAUUGACUUGGGAGCGGGGUGAAGAAUCUCCACCAUUGUAAGAUCGAAACGUAGCUCUUGAUACCAAUUGACAUAGCGGAAGCAAUUAAAAAUCAAACCUUGAAUAACCCAAGGUGAGAAUUGUCCUGAAACAAGGAAGAACUAAAACAAAACUAAAAAAAAUAGACAAUCUUAAUUGUAUUGAUUGAAUAAUUGAUCUACAAAACAUGACUCUUUAUAUAGACUAAAGACUUGUUCCGAACCGUGCUCACCCCUAAAACCAACUAUUCUAGAAUUUCAAGACUCUAAAAUAAAAAUUACUAAAUAAAAUAAAAUAAAUUUUUUUUUUUCUAACAUUACAACAUCAACAAUGACGUCAUCACUUCUGCAUUACAUUCAUUGCAUUGAGGGAAUGAGAAAGAAACAACCUCUAACUUCAAAUUUUGCAAGUUGCCACAUGUAGAACUAAUUAUUGUACUUAGAAUUAAAACAUAUAAAACACGCAAUUCAUGCAUGCCGGCCUGUAACCUUGCCCUGUACUAUAUACAAGAAGUAUCCCUAUCGACUAGUUGAUUAGUUCUAAUUAUAUUUUUAAAUGCAAUAUUAAUUAUAUACUCAUUAAAUUAAUAAUAAUACACUAAAUAGCACACAAGAUGCGAAGCUGCAGCAUGUUGACUUAUACAAAGUCGUCUUAAACUCCCAACUCCCAACUCCCAACACCCCUUCUUCCAUAAAGCAAGACGAUGCCAUUAAGAUGGGAGAUCUAAUAAGAACAACUUCUAAGCAAGUCUAAAGUGAUCUUCAUUUGGUUGUUUACCAAAUAAAUAAAGUGUUUAGGGCACUAUCAUGCAUGAAACUUGCAAAGCUAGUGGGAUCAAGUUAGUUAUUUAUUGAAUUUUCCAGGUAAUUUAAUUAUGUGUCUUUCUUCCGAUAGUUCUGUUUUUGUAUUGCAAUUAAUCCUGCUGCAGUUUUUAGUUCUUUGAUCAAUUGUGUUUAGUUCAGUAUUUCGACCAUAGAUCAGAUCUGAAAUUAAUCUCUCCUUGUAGAUAUAACACAUAGCUAGCUAUUCCACACACCAUUCAUUCCCACUCUGGUCCCUCAAACAAGUGCUGAAUGAGAACCCAAUAUAUGUGCAAUAUAACAAUAGUAAAACAAACAAUAAAGCAAUAAACAAAUAAAGAACACACGAUAUUUUUAACGUGGUAAAAACCAAUAUGGGAAACGUCCACGGUUGUCCUCGCGACAACAAAUAAAUUCACUAGAUGAAAAGAGAUGUACAAACCUAUCAACUACCUGCAAUCACUGCGAGUUGACACUACUGGUUAUCUCUAACACCUUGACUUCACCAGAGUACCUUGAUGUACGCACAUGACACUCGAACUUCUUGAUGAACACACAAGGAUACUCGACUUCUUGAUGAACACACAAGAAGACUCGAAGCUGAUCUCAAUAAUUAUUCAACAAAGAAGAAGAAGAUGAAUGGGGAAGAAGAAGAUGAGUUCAAUCACCAAAACAACCUAAACCAAAACCUAAACAAACUCCAAGACUAGAGAUGAAUUGGACGGCUAAAGAAAUCGUUUGUUCAUUGGGUAAAGAAACCCUAUAUAUAGUUAGGGUUUGGAAACAUAGAAAAUGGGCCGGACUUUGCAGAUUUUACAUUGGACGUACGUACGUCGAAACAGCGUACGUACGUCCGCACACGGAAAUAGUUCGCUGCCUGCUUGGACGUACGUACGUCCUAACUAGGUACGUACGUCCUGACCAAAACAUGUUUGCUGCCUAACAUGACGUACGUACACCCUAACUAGGUACAUACGUCCUAAACCCAAAAACUUACUUUUGACAAAAGAACGCGAGGACACAAACUCGAGACGAUGUGCAUAUAACUUGGUUUUCCUAACAAUGAACUCAAGGCGAGAUAACCGAGACAAUCAAUGUCACAAAAUUAAUGUCAAAUAACCGAGUGCCGGUUUCAAUCUCCCCCUUUGACAUUGAUUUUGUGACAAAAACCUAUGACUAUAGUAGCACUUAUAAAACGUGCAUACAAACCCAAACCAUGGCAUUUAUAAGAGAUGCCUACAAGAACACUCAUAGUAAAUACAUACCAAAUCACCAACACUUGAUAUUCUGGUCAAGUAAGAUUCUUUAAUCAUCAGAGACCGAACGGAAGCAACAAUGAAUUCUGUAAAUCAGAGAGCCAACGGAAGUUUCUCGAACAACUCCCCCAUACUUCAUGAGUCCCAAAAUUUGAUACUCGAGCUCCCCCGAAACUGUACAAUCUCAAACCAUCAUCACUUUCACUCCCCCAUACGUGUAGCAUACCUGAAACAUGACCCAAGAUACACUAACAAAGAAGAAGAAUGUGCUAGUAUUAGAGUCAUACAUCUCCUCAUUUUUGUCACAAAAGAAGCAAUGUGACAAGAAAAAAACCAUAACAAGUAAACAAAAAUUAAGAAGAGAAUAAUAAAACAUGUUAACAAGAAAUAGAUAUUGAACAGAAGAUAUAGAACAAUCUCUUGUCAACACAACAUAAACACCAUCAACAUGAGAAAAAUCCUUAACUAAAUCAACUUCACAAACCUUAACAAGAAGAUAAAGAGAAAGAACCGAUGUACCAUAAAAGUGAAGAGGAACACAUCAUGAAAUUCCCAAAAUAGUAGUCAAUCCCAAUCCAUACAAAAAUAAGAGACAAUAUAUUGGGAUAAACAAAAGAUUGAACAACUAAGAGAAUUGAAGUGCAUCAUAAACUAAACCUCGGUGUGUGUAGAUGCAAUGCAAUGCAUAAAGAGAGAGAAAGUUCACCACUAGAAUACACCCUUUGAAGACCUAGAAUAUAGAACCAUCAACAAGAGACAUACGAUUAGUAAGUGAGCUUAGAAGAAACAAACUUCAACCCCCUUUGAAACAAACGUUAUGCGUAGAAGACAAACGAAUAUAAAUAUGAUCUUUCAAAUGAAAACCAAGACAUCCAAAAGGCGAAGGAAUAUAAACUUUGUAUGUCUUACAUAAAAACAAUGAACAUGCGCAUGGAUUUUUAUUUUGCCGCAUGUGGUGGAGUUUAGUCUACAUCACUCUAAUGUCAUUCCCGCGUGGGAGGUAUUUUUGCCUCCAUCUUUUCAAAUACAUGAGGGUAGGGUGUAGCCUACAUCUUUUUGACAGACACAAACUCAAGAAGUGCAAUACCAUGAUAACGUGCAACACAAGAACUAACAUCUCUUGAGUGCAUCCGUCAGAGCAUGACCCUCACAACCCCAACGGGUUCUUAGCCAACUGAUAUAAUUUAAAGACAAUCAAAUGGCUGGGGAUAAAGUGAGUCAUUGACCACUAACAAGAGUUGUAAGAGGAAGAUAAGAAUGCUCAAUAACACGAACAACAAGAUGAACAUUAACCAAAACAAAUGAGAGAUAGCUCAAGAUAACAUAAAUACUCAAGAGAUAGAGAAGUUUUAUGAGCUUAAAGAAUAUGUAAGUGGUUUCCAAAAACUCCCAUCAUGCAAGAAUGCCGUGCACUGUGCAAACAAGCGAGGAAAAAUGCAUGAUACAUACCAAAACAUACUUAAGAGUUCAGAAAGAGAAAACACCCAAACAUAUUGUAACUUAUUUAAGACAAUUGAAUUAAACCAAUAUUUCAGAAAAGAUGCAUCCAACAACACAUACAUGGAAUAAUGAAAGAACAAUUAACGCAUGCAUAAAUAGAAGAUCGAACAAAAAACACCAAACAAAUGGCCUAUGUGGUUAGAAAAAUAUGCAAUUAAAAUACCACAAGACUAGAAACAAACUACAUCAUCCCAAAUAUGGGACACCACCAGACUUUUGCAAGUCUAGAAAAACCUGCAACUUAUCUUUUCUUACCCAUACUUGUUUAACACUAGGCGUGCACACCUUGAAAGUUGAAAAGAUAUGAGAUUUCCCCUUAUCAAGUUUUUCAAUAGACUUGUGGUCCUUAACUAAUUCCACCUUAGUCUUUGACUUCCUUUUGUUGGAGUACCCGUUUUUCUUAAACCUAUGAGAAUAAGCAUUAGAGUUCCAAGGUCUAGAAAACGCACAAGAAGGAACAUAAGAAUCAACAUGAUUAUAAUUAUAAGGAACACGGGAAUAACAUUUAACAUGUUGAUUAAAAUCCCAACAAAAGAUAUCCAAAUGACCAUCUCUACCACAAUAAGAACAAUGAAAAACAGUAGACUUACUCAAAGAAUUUUUAUAAGGAGAUGUGGUAGUAGAAGAUGAAACAUGUAUGUCACCAUUGUAUUUGUGACAUGGUGCCUUAACAAAAUCUGUACCUCCACUAUGAGAACAAGAUGUCUUACCAGCAAAAACACCCGUACCAUUAUCCUUAGACUUAAACUUUUUGCCAGAAACAUGCUGAAAAGUAUUAGUAUUAAGUAUAGUCUCAAUAGGUGGGGUAGGCAAAAGGGCAGGCAAACUAGAUUUUACAGAAGUAGUCACACUAGAUGGUCUAGUAGAACUAGCAAUAGGAGAGUCAAAUUUAGUUUUGUCCAAAACCUGCAAUUGAAGUUGAGUAGACGUUAAAUCGUUCUUUGUUACCUCAUACUCCACCAAUAGAGAUUUGUAUUUCUCAUCGACCUCCUGAUUGACCUUCUCUAAAGCUGCAAUUCUACAUAACAAGUCAAGUUUUUCUUUGUCAAAUAAUUGAGAAAUAGAAAUUGCAUCAUCUGCAGCAGAAAUAAUUUGUUUUUCAAGAGUCUCAAUUUUAUCCUGCAAAGUAAAAUUAGCCUUUUCCAAUUUUUUGAUUUUGGAAUCAUAAACUUCCCCUUGAAGCAUAUAGUCUUCUGCACAAUCUCUGAGUCGUUGUUCUAGAGAAUCAACCUUAGUCUGCAAAACACCAUUAUCUUUAAAACAAAAAUUAUCAGAAAUAGUAGAUAAAUUUGAAUUAGCUUUAUUGAACUUUUCCUGCAAAUCAAUAUUAGCUUUUUGUGACCUUUCACAUUCUUUUGUAGAAAGUCUGUAAAGAAGAGCCCAAUCACUAUUGCUAACAACAUACAAAUUAACAUCUUUUUCAAAAUCAGAUUUUGGUUUUGUAGAUUUAGACGGUUUAGCAAUAAAAUUAUUAUAAGCAGACUCAUGAACCAUUAUUGCACUCAUAAGAUCUACGCGUGAGCCAUUACGUUCCAUAACAAGCGCCCUGCUCUGAUACCAAUUGAGAACCCAAUAUAUGUGCAAUAUAACAAUAGUAAAGCAAACAAUAAAGCAAUAAACAAAUAAAGAACACACGAUAUUUUUAACGUGGUAAAACCCAAUAUGGGAAACGUCCACAGUUGUCCUCGCGACAACAAAUAAAUCCACUAGAUGAAAAUAGAUGUCCAAACCUAUCAACUACCUGCAAUCACUGUGAGUUGACACUACUGGUUAUCUCUAACACCUUGACUUCACUAGAGUACCUUGAUGUACGCACAAGACACUCGAACUUCUUGAUGAACACACAAGAAGACUCGAAGUCGAUCUAUGAAGCAAGCUUACACCAGAGUUCCUUGAUGAACACACAAGGAUACUCGACUUCUUGAUGAACACACAAGAAAACUCGAAGCUGAUCUCAAUAAUUAUUCAAUAAGGAAGAAGAAGAUGAAUGGGGAAGAAGAAGAUGAGUUCAAUCACCAAAACAACCUAAACCAAAACCCAAACAAACUCCAAGACUAGAGAUGAAUUGGACAGCCAAAGAACUCAUUUGUUCAUUGGGUAGAGAAACCCUAUAUAUAGUUAGGGUUUGGAAACAUAGAAAAUGGGCCGGACUUUGCAGAUUUUACAUUGGACGUACGUACGUCGAAACAACGUACAUACGUCCCCACACGGAAAUAGUUCGCUGCCUGCUUGGACAUACGUACGUCCUAACUAGGUACGUACGUCCUGACCAAAACAUGUUUGCUGCCUAACAUGACGUACGUACACCCUAACUAGGUACGUACGUCCUAAACACUAAAACUUACUUUUGACAAAAGGACGCGAGGACACAAACUCGGGACGAUGCGCGUACAACUUGGUUUUCCUAACAAUGAACUCAAGGCGAGAUAACCGAGACAAUCAAUGUCACAAAAUUAAUGUCAAAUAACCGAGGCCGGUUUCACUGAAAUCACUAGCAAUGACGACAAGAAUUAGUUCAAUUGGUUUAAUACUGUACCUGCAACAGAUCUCUGUCAUUCAAGUGUAGCCUGUGCUUGUUUUGUUUUGUUUUGACAUUAAGGGGGCUACACUUAAAAGAGUAGCUAUGUUAUAAUUUCCGAUAUAAUUAAACUAUAUAUACAAACUUUUCAUGUUCGUAUAGGCCAUUUUUUUUUAUGUCAGAUGUUGUUAAAUGUUAAAUAUUGCUUGUUCGAGUAACUCUUGUACAUACAUUACACAUGCAAAAAUAUAAUUAUUGUUUCAUCGGUCUGAGAUCAUGAGUAAUAGUUCCGAUAAGAAAAGAAAAAGAAGUUCCGACCUAAACGAUUAUUUUGAAGCUUUAUGUAAGCAGAUGCUCAAGCUGAAAGUCUUGAGAGACAAAGUGGCCACAGGAGGGGAAGUACGAAUGGCUGGUUGGCUACAGAUUGUUAAAGACAAAGAAAGAGAGGUGCGUGAAAUUGAAAUGAAGUUGAGAAAGUUAGAAAAAUAUCGUUUACCUCGUCCAAAUUCCAGGGAAAGGCUAAAAGAAAGGAUCAUUAAAAGUAUAACAACGGUGAAAGCUUUGAUCAAAAGUAAGGAUGAAAUCUCAUUAGCAAUGGAAACGUUCAGAAGGGCAGCUGAAGAAAUAUACCUCUAAUUUCCCGACUGAGAUAGGUUCUGGUGAUUUUGUGUUUCGUAAUAAUGUGGAAAUAGCCGUUAAGGUACUGCAUGACAGUGGAAUCGACAACAUGGAAAAGCAAUUUAAGGCUGAAAUAAACAGAAUGAGCAGAACUUCUCAUCGAAACUUAGCCAAGCUCUACGGUUAUUGUUUUGAUUCCUAAUCCUUAUUUCAAUCAAGACUUAUGGCAUUUUCCACAGGGAACCAAGUUAAUCUCAGAAGUCUAGCUAGAGCUACAUGACUGAAUCGGGCGGUAUAGACAUUGAAGUGUCAGAAGAAGGAAGAAGCACAACAAGGGAAUCAGACGGUUGUAAGAUUUUCAUUAACAACGGCUUUCAUGUUGUCAUCAAAACAGAACCCAUAUUAUGUUAUAUGUGUUAUUUUCCAGUUGAAUAAGUCUUAGUUGUUAUGAGUUAAGCCUAAUAAGUAGAAAGUAGAGUGUAGUCUUAUAGGGGUUAGUUGCAACUUAACGUUGGAGUGGGUUGUUGUAACUUAGUCCUGUUUUAUUAGUAAGAUAUUUGUAACACCUUCUAUUUAAGGUGCAGCAGUCAUUAAUAAAAGUAUGCUUAUGAAUUAUCUCCAAUUAUCC